UUUUUCAAUCUUAGAAUCAUACUUCAAAAUUGAUUUAAUAAAUGAUUUAUUAAAUUAUAUCCUAAAAACAUUAAAUAUUGCCUCAAGAAUGGAAAAUAAAAAAAAAAUAAUACCCAUUUACAAGAAAGGAAAUAAAAAAGAAUGCAAAACUAUAGAUAAAACUUCUUAUUAUGUUACAUUUAUAAGAUUUUUUAUUAGAGUUUUACAAAACAGAAUAAAGAGCAAAUAUGAAGACGGCCUAGAUAAGAAGAGCAAGCUGAUUUCAAGAAAAAUAAACAGUAGAUCUAAUAUUCAUCAUAUCUCAGAUAACAGAAUUAAAGUUGUAGUAGUUGUAGUAGUAGUAAUAAUGCUGUUGCUGUAUAGAUCUAAAGCAAGCUAGUGCUCACAUAAAAAAGCUAAUAACAAUACUAAAUCAUUUAAAUUUUAACAAAGAAUUGAAAAGAAACUAAAGCACAUGCACUAAAGCAUUUAAUGUAUAACAUAAAGAUAUAACUAUAAAUGAAUUCAAAAUAGGAAAAGACACAACACAUAUUUUUCUUCUUUUCACCUUGUUUGUGCAAUUUAUUUCUAGAUCAUAUUAUUAGAAAAGUUAUAGAAGUCAAAAAUAUUAUGGUAAACAAAUCAAA
RNAcentral lists this long non-coding RNA (626 nucleotides) under Androctonus crassicauda. The record is from RNAcentral. Lineage: Eukaryota; Metazoa; Arthropoda; Arachnida; Scorpiones; Buthidae.